GACGAACGCUGGCGGCGUGCCUAAUACAUGCAAGUAGAACGCACAGUUUAUACCGUAGCUUGCUACACCAUAGACUGUGAGUUGCGAACGGGUGAGUAACGCGUAGGUAACCUGCCUGGUAGCGGGGGAUACUAUUGGAAACGAUAGCUAAUACCGCAUAAUAUUAAUUAUUGCAUGAUAAUUAAUUGAAAGGUGCAAUUGCACCACUACCAGAUGGACCUGCGUUGUAUUAGCUAGUAGGGGAGGUAACGGCUCACCUAGGCGACGAUACAUAGCCGACCUGAGAGGGUGAUCGGCCACACUGGGACUGAGACACGGCCCAGACUCCUACGGGAGGCAGCAGUAGGGAAUCUUCGGCAAUGGACGAAAGUCUGACCGAGCAACGCCGCGUGAGUGAAGAAGGUUUUCGGAUCGUAAAGCUCUGUUGUAAGAGAAGAACGGGUGUGAGAGUGGAAAGUUCACACUGUGACGGUAUCUUACCAGAAAGGGACGGCUAACUACGUG
RNAcentral lists this ribosomal RNA (504 nucleotides) under uncultured bacterium. RNAcentral's name for it is "partial 16S ribosomal RNA". It matches the Rfam family "Bacterial small subunit ribosomal RNA", at positions 28 to 507 of the family's 1533-position model. The record is from RNAcentral.